AGUAGAACUAAAAUGAACCUCUAUGUGUAGUUAACAUAUGAUUCAGUCUCUCUAUCGUGAGUUCCGACUAGAUGGUAGGUCAUGAAUAAAUUGUCAAACCUCAGCAUUAGUCAUAUGAUAGAUUCGAUUAGCUCAAGUCCAGUUGUGAUUUCUAUGAAAACUCUUUUUCAUCAAUCACAUUGUUGUGGCCACGGACUCUUGGACUUAGCCUCUCAAAUCUCAUAGAACUACUCCUCUCUAUCAAGGUCGAUAGAUCCUAUCUUGAUGCGUACCUUAUCCCUAUAGUAGACCUACUAUCGCCAACAUCCACUAUAAGGGCUUAUUGAGAUCAAUGUUUAUUUAUCAGUCAAACUCCAGCAACCUCACUGCGAGUAGCAGUACCAUC
This 385-nucleotide long non-coding RNA is filed under the name Elaeis guineensis (African oil palm). RNAcentral's name for it is "long non-coding RNA (EGUI_LNC038034)". The record is from RNAcentral. Lineage: Eukaryota; Viridiplantae; Streptophyta; Magnoliopsida; Arecales; Arecaceae.